This 440-nucleotide ribosomal RNA is filed under the name uncultured bacterium. Its description in RNAcentral is "bacterial SSU rRNA". It matches the Rfam family "Bacterial small subunit ribosomal RNA", at positions 338 to 769 of the family's 1533-position model. The record is from RNAcentral.
CCUACGGGGGGCAGCAGUGGGGAAUAUUGCGCAAUGGACGAAAGUCUGACGCAGCAACGCCGCGUGAGUGAUGAAGGCCUUCGGGUUGUAAAGCUCUGUCGGGUGGAACGAAUGGGCGAAGCGUGAAUAAUGCUUCGCUGUGACGGUACCACCAAAGGAAGCACCGGCUAACUCCGUGCCAGCAGCCGCGGUAAUACGGAGGGUGCAAGCGUUGCUCGGAAUUAUUGGGCGUAAAGCGCACGCAGGCGGCGAGGUAAGUCAGUUGUGAAAUUCCCGGGCUUAACUUGGGAGCUGCAGCUGAUACUGCCUUGCUUGAGUACGGAAGAGGGGAGCGGAAUUCCCAGUGUAGAGGUGAAAUUCGUAGAUAUUGGGAGGAACACCGGUGGCGAAGGCGGCUCCCUGGUCCGAUACUGACGCUCAUGUGCGAAAGCGUGGGGAGC